UAGACACCUUAUCCAACAGACUCCCACUUGGAUAAGUCUAAUAACUAUAUUUGCGUAUGUUACUUCAGGAACCAACCAGCAAUCGUAGCUCUCGAAAACUCUGUUGAACUAUGAAGCGCCAUUUUAGAUAAGUGAUCAUAUAAUCCUCUGUUCUCAUGAUAUCAGCCGGACAAAUACAUGGAACAACGUCGUACUUAUUGUCCAGCAGUUUGUUUCCCGAUUUCCGAUUUGUUUGACAAAGAACUUAAUCGAACACAUCAAUUUAGUUCUGACCGGCCGGUACAUAGGUCACAACAAAAUCAUCGAGGGGCCCAGAUAUCGCUUCUAUUUCUAGAAGGAACAGAUAAACUUCGACUCAUAUGCUUGUUCUACUACUUGUUGAAUUGUACACAAAGGCACGUUUUAUAACAUCAAGUUACUGAUGCGUUUACGUGCAAUCAAUGCACAACCAACUCAUAGGUAACAACUCAUAUCUCUAGGUUUGAAGAUUUAUAUGAUAUUACCGUCUCACGAUCACUCGAGAUAAAUUCCAUGAAGUGAUACAAGUGAGCGUGGGUUUAUUCCAAUACUCAUAACUUAUGAGCACUCAUGAAUGUUGUAGCAACCAUUGCUAUGACUAAACCCAUUUAGCCAUCUACAAACUCGAUUCAUGACAGUCUUGAUUCAUACCUACUUCCAACAUAUGAACGACUGUGGAGUGUUUAAAUAACUUAGUCAUUCGGAAAGAAUAACCUAGCUAUUUUGGAAGUCAAAACAUGCAAAGUGAAACACAAUAAUAAUCGAAUCCAAUAUGGUCUCAGAACCCUUUUGAAUAUAAAUAGAACCACCUUUUAUUUAUCACCAUAUUGAUUACACAUUAUUCAUUGUAUAAUGUUUCAAACAAUCAACUUAAGACUUGAAUAAAAACAACAGUCGUCCCAUGCUCCUAGCAUGUACACUUUGUUUUUCUAAACAAUAGUUAUGCCAUACUCCAAGUAUGCACACUAUGUUUGUCUAUGAUCCUUACAUUGUGAUGUAGAUCAAUUGAACAUGAUUCCAAUGAUACUCAUUUCACAAUCCCAAAUCCUUAUUGUAAAUGUGAGAAUCCCCGAUUCCUAUCAUUUACCAAAAAAACUGUUAGAUUUUAAACUUUUAUGCAAUGUUCCUCUUGUAAUGAUUAUGCACAAAGUCACCAAAACCUUGUCACCAGUCAUUACAGAGUAUUCCAAAGAAGGUCAACUUCUAUGGAACGGAAGUCUCAUAUUCAAAGUACAUUGCUUUGAACAUCCUUCUUGCAUUAAGGUUUUCUAAUCUUACAUAGAUUGAAUAACUUCCACCUAUGGAGACAUUUCCAUAGUCCCAUUUUGACUAUCACUUCCGAACAAGAGUUACUUCUUUUCAGAAUAUGUCAAUAUGGUCCUUUCCGACAACUUACAUCAUACUUCCAACUUUCCCUGAGCAACCAAUCUUUGGCGAACCUCAGAUUGUCCUCGACAAUUGCUUAAUCACUUUAGUCAUAUCCAGUUCUAGACUUUUCCCUUCUCAAUGCCUUAAGCAUUUGGAAAAUUUAGAAAAGAUGAAUAUUAUAGCACAUGCAAUCGAUCCUAUAUCCGAAGCAUAUGGGACACGAUUCAUGAUGUUUGACAUAAAGACAUGAUACUAGACCAGUCUUUUGCUACAAUAUUUUUUAUUUGCCAUGUUUUCAAAAUUUAACUAUGAAGAGGGAUGCCGUAAUCAUAAUCGAAUUUUGAAAACGCAAUAUAUAUAGAAUUUCUUCAAGUUGAACCAUUCCAACAUAAAAUUCAUAUAUAUAUUCUUGACUAAAGAUGAUUAAAAUCUCAAUCUAAGCUUUAGAAUUGAAAUGAAGUAUAAUUUCCUCUCCCUUAAUUAUAGCAAAACAACUUUUCAACCCCUGCAACUUCACGAAUUGAAACUUUGUUUUCUAUAAUUAACAUUGCUAACUUGCAACACUAAACGUAAUAAUCAUGCUCCCACUAACAUGAUGAUUAUCAGCAUAACACUUAUGCUCCCACUAGCUCUGACAUAUUUCCAGAAAUCUGCUGGACUUCUGAAAUUUAGAUUCAUACACCCUUUCUUAGAUAGCUCACAUGUGUGUCUAAACAAUUUUCAGAACUAUGAAAAGGGAUGCCGUAAUCAUAGUCUCAAUUGCUUAGGCAUUUGCCAUUUCUCACAAGUCCAUGUUAGUGUGCCGGUUAACCACACGCGCUCCACUAACGACUUUUGAAAAUGCAAAUAACACAAUUGAUAUCUACGUAAAAUCUACUUAGUGAAAGCGUUUCCUCACCAUCAUUUUCAUGAAUCGGAGAGAAACCUUAUGACACUUAGAUUUUAUAGUGUAUGAGUUCCUAUCCAUGUGAAUUUGUCAAAACCAUAAUCACAAGAUAAGGUUAGUGACAAAUUCAGCCUUACAUGGAUUAAACUUGUUCAAUCUUAGUUUCUUGUCACCUUGGUAGCACAAGGCCCACCAAUGCUUCCAAGUUGAACUCUGAUAACUCACAUGCAAAUUCAACUUAUUUGAAGUAGGUACAGAAAUAAGAAUUAUGUCAACACGAUAGGUUGCAAACCUUAAGUCGUGUGCUAGUGAUAAAUUACAGGUUUUACUCUUGAUUAAAUCUUGAAACUCUUUCAGGAUCUUUAAGGCUCCCACUGUCCCCUUGACAUAUAAGUUUCCCCAGUCAAGAACCAUUCCUUGACAAAACAAAUAUUCAAGGGAUAGUGCGGAUUCUUAUCAAGACUAACACUUCACACAAUUGGUCUUAGUUGGUCUUUGUCUCAUCCAAGACAUCACAACUUACCAAUCUCAAAUGUACAAGAGUAGAAAACAUUUUACUCUUACAUUUGACUAGUGUUAAUAAAUCUUCCUUUAUGUCACUCAAAGUUACAAUCUUGGAGUAUGACUCUAAGAAUUGUUUUGGAACGAAGUAUGACUCAUCUUCUUGAUUUUAACCAAUCCAACAAUUCAUGACCUCUCUUCUUAGCCAUAACAAUGCACUAAGACGUCCUUAGAGUAUGAAUUUGUGAUAUGGUUUCAUAAUCAUUAAGAUGAUCAUGAAAUACGAUACUAAAGUACUCUCCCAUCCUUUCAGAUUUGAGAAACUUUUAUCUUUCUGCCUAAUUUGAUUCUUCUCAUUUGUUUUGUCAUACAUUGUAACCUUUCCAAUGUUACAGAAUUAUACUUAACCUCAUAAGUAUAAUCAUAUUUACUAAUCUUUAGUAAAUCAUGACAAAUCAAUCUUUGUGGUGGACCUUGACCAGCGCACACCCAGUGUACCUAAUUCCUUAGUCCUUCAAUUGACUCACAUAUACAUGUGAUCAAAGAAUUAGUCUUAAUUUUCAAAGAUGAAAAUUCUCAUUCAUCAUACAAUACAACUUGUAUGAUUCCAAGUUUCUGUCCAAUUGAAACUUGGGUGAUGAAAAACUUUCUUCAUUUGGUAAAUUCAGACACUACCACAAAUGAAAGAAUCAAAUCCACUUUCCAAUAUUGCUAUUACUGGAAACAUAUAAGCAACAAUUUUCCACAGAUGCCAUUGUAAGGAUAUUUUUAAAAUAAAUAAAAUUAAAACCCUUUUUUUUUUUUUUUUUAAAACUUUGCGGAAAAACUUAUCCUUACAAUCCACAUGAAAACCUUGUUGUUAUCUAUUCAUAAGCAAUAUAUUAUAACUCUUAAGCAACAGCUCAAAAUUCUGAUUACCGAACCAUGCGAUCGAAACCCACCUUCGCAAUCAGAAUCAACAUAUACUUACUUUAAGCUUCCUAUCUUUUCUUUGAUUCUUAAAAACAUCAGCAUGUGACCCAUUCACAUUAUGUAAUAAGAAUCUCCAAAUAGGAACUUAAUAGAGUUAGACAGUGGACUUUACCCGAAGUAGAGUCAAACCUCUUGACUUGAUCAACCUUAUGACCUUUCAGGUGAAUAGGGCAGCUUCGCAACCAAUGCCCCUUCCUUUGGCAACAAAACACAUGGACCCUUUGGUAAUGGCACAUGAGACUAUCUCAGACUUAGCCUUUCUCUUUACCAUUUGGUCAACCGAGUUGACUAUGGCCGAUCCCUUUCCAUUGGGAAGAGAAAUCCUUUUCUAGAUAUCCAAUGCUACCAUUGUCAAUGUCCAUUUAAGACUUGGGAAGUUGUUCUUUUAAUCAAAUUUGCUUUACUGGUGUUCCAAAUCAUUGCUGAUUCCACAACACCAAGCAAAUAGAUAACAUCAUUAAGGGUCAUGUCAUAGUCUGUCUCAUAGUAGUCCCAAAGAGACUCACUAUGUUACUAAGAAAGUGAUUGAACAUCCAACUUUCACGAGACUUUGACACCCAACUCUCCCGGCUUGUCAAUAUGUGACUUUAUCUCCAAGAUGUGAGCACACAUAGACUAUGCUUGCCAAUAGGGAUUGAGUGACUUUAAACUUUUCAAGAACUUGUGGGUGAGGGAGAAUAAUUGGAGGAGGUGGAGGAAGUGAAGCAUGAUGUUGAGGGACACCAUCUUCAAGAGAUUUGGGAAGAUCAUAGUUGUCUGAACCAGACAUCUAUAAUGGGAGAAAAUCAAGUUAGUUGAUUCAAAGUCCUUAAUAUAACACCCAAUAUGAAAUAUUAAGGCUAGGACCCAACACAAUAUUUUAUAAUUUGGAAGAGGGAUGCCGUAAUCCAAGCUAUAAAAUAUUUGAAGGUAGGCGAAUGACGAUUCACCAAUUUCCACCAUGAAAAACGAAAUAAUUUAUUAGGUUUUAAUUGGAUUUGAAAUUCCUAGAUCUUUUGAGAUUCAUUGAACUUUUCAAUGGCAUGUUUCAAUCUCGAGUGUGCCCUCUCAAAUUUUGUGACUGGGAUGCCGAGGAUCACAAAACAAGGUGUGAAUAACCAUACCAAUUCACUUGGUACCCUUAAUAUUAUCACCUAAUCAAUGUGCCGGUUAACCACACACGCUCCAUUGAUCUAUGACAAACAUUAAGUCACCCUUCGUGAUCCUUACUAGUCCAAGUUAGUGUGCCGGUUAACCACACACGCUCCACCAACGACUUGGUAAGGUACAAAGUGUGAAUUCCAUGGGCUAGCACCAAAUUCACAUUUUUCCUAAAGUAACUAAGAUUGGGAAUUAAAUAAAAAAUUUUUAGUUACUUUAUAAUAAUCAUUAUACUUUUAAUGAGAAUUUAAAGUCAUUGUCCUACCCGUUCGGCUAACGACCCUCCACCGAUCAAGCAAGCGGUGGGUGAGAGUGGACACCCAUUAAGUCGCCAUUUUAUAGGCAACAACCUUAUACCCACCUUAUAGACCGGCUUCGUGAAUGAGGCCUACUAACGGUAAAACGACUUGUUCUUAUACAUAUAUAUAAUAAUUAACCAUUAAUGUUAUAAAUAGUAUAAGUGUUGAAUUUUAACUUUUAAAACUCUAAGUGUUGGAAUUAAAGUUUAUUAAAGUGUGUGAAACUUUUCAAAUUCCAAAACUUGAGGGCAAGUUUUGUAACUAUCCAAAACUUUUCAUUUCAUAACUUAUGAAUUAAAGGUUCAUAAAAAUGAAGACUCUUCAUUUUCAUGUAACUUAUGUGUUUAAAUGUGUGUGUUAAAGAAAAGUGACCUUUGGAUAUCCAUAACUUGAGGACAAAUUAUGGACUCCAUUAAAACACAUAAAUGAUCAAGAAUUAAUUCUAAACAAUUCAGCAAAUAAUUCCUAUCAUCUUCUAAAUUCAUAAGAACAUGAACAUGAUCAUCAAAAUUUCAAGAAUUAUAUGAACACAUAAAAAUCAUGGAAUUUUGAUAUAUGCUAUUGUAAAUGGAUUAGAACAACCAUUACACCAACUAAAACAAGUUUUAAAACACCAAAACAGUUUAGGGUAAUGUUUCUAGUCCAUUUCCAGCAGCAAAAGUCGAAAUUCUGCAUUCUGAUCAUUCUACUCGCCGAGUGCACGAACCUACUCGCCGAGUAGGAUGAAUUUUGCCUUGAACUCGGCGAGUCCCCCCAUGGACUCGGCGAGUCCAUCAGCCAGACAGCAACAAUUUCAACUUUUUUCACUAUUUUGCAUCAAGUAUCAAACAAGCAAGCCUAGGCUCUGAUACCACUGUUGGGUUUUGAGCAAUCUAACACUUCCUAAGUGUGCAUGCAACCCUAAUAAACCUUGGAUCUAUGUUUGUCUAAAUACAUGCAAAAUAAUAAUUUUCCAAGGUUCAUAACCUAUCUAACAUGGCAUGGGGAACAUUUCAACAUAAAAGAGUUAGAAGAGAUUACAUACCUUUUUGAUGAGUUUGGUUCUUAAGGAGUUUGAGGGCCAAGCACCAAUAGUGUGAAUGCCUCAAAUGGAAUCACAAAACACCACAAACUCUUGGAAAACUUUGAGAGAGUAUACACACUUGUAUUUUUGGCCACACACAAGCACACACACACUAGUUCACUAGUUGCCAUUUCAUGCUCCAUAAGCAUGCUUAUAUAGUGUGCAUGGUUAGGGUGAAACCCUAAUAACCCAUGACCUUUCCUUUUCCAAGGAUCCAUGGGUUAAAAGCUCCAUGGAUCAUCCAUGGACUUCCAUAUAAGCCUAGCCCAUUAACAAAUGAGUGUUAGCCCACACCAUAUAAAACCAAUAGCCCAUAAUCUAAUUAGUCUUCCUUUUAAUCUCUAAAUUAAUUCAUAAUUAAUUUAAGACUAAGACUAAUUAAAUAACAUAACUUCAUAUUAAUAUAUUAUAACUUAUAAUAUAUUAAUAAACAUAUGUGUAUAACUCUCAUAAAAUUAUCCAUAAAUAGUUCGGGUGAGAUGCAACCCAAAUGGACCAUGCCGGGUCGGGUCAAGUAUAUACCAAAUAAGUUAUGGACUUAGACACCUUAUCCAACAGACUCCCACUUGGAUAAGUCUAAUAACUAUAUUUGCGUAUGUUACUUCAGGAACCAACCAGCAAUCGUAGCUCUCGAAAACUUCGUUGAACUAUGAAGCGCCAUUUUAAGUAAGUGAUCAUAUAAUCCUCUGUUCUCAUGAUAUCAGCCGGACAAAUACAUGGAACAACGUCGUACUUAUUGUCCAGCAGUUUGUUUCCCGAUUUUCCAUUUGUUUGACAAAGAACUUAAUCGAACACAUCAAUUUAGUUCUGACCGGCCGGUACAUAGAUCACAACAAAAUCAUCGAGGGGCCCAGAUAUCGCUUCUAUUUCUAGAAGGAACAGAUAAACUUCGACUCAUAUGCUUGUUCUACUACUUGUUGAAUUGUACACAAAGGCACGUUUUAUAACAUCAAGUUACUGAUGCGUUUACGUGCAAUCAAUGCACAACCAACUCAUAGGUAACAACUCAUAUCUCUAGGUUUGAAGAUUUAUAUGAUAUUACCGUCUCACGAUCACUCGAGAUAAAUUCCAUGAAGUGAUACAAGUGAGCGUGGGUUUAAUCCAAUACUCAUAACUUAUGAGCACUCAUGAAUGUUGUAGCAACCAUUGCUAUGACUAAACCCAUUUAGCCAUCUACAAACUCGAUUCAUGACAGUCUUGAUUCAUACCUACUUCCAACAUAUGAACGACUGUGGAGUGUUUAAAUAACUUAGUCAUUCGGAAAGAAUAA
Molecule: long non-coding RNA, 7517 nt
Filed under: Lactuca sativa (garden lettuce)
Lineage: Eukaryota; Viridiplantae; Streptophyta; Magnoliopsida; Asterales; Asteraceae
Description: long non-coding RNA (LSAT_LNC005184)
Source: RNAcentral